RNAcentral lists this ribosomal RNA (475 nucleotides) under uncultured bacterium. Its description in RNAcentral is "bacterial SSU rRNA". It matches the Rfam family "Bacterial small subunit ribosomal RNA", at positions 28 to 501 of the family's 1533-position model. The record is from RNAcentral.
GACGAACGCUGGCGGCGCGCCUAACACAUGCAAGUCGAGCGGGAAGCUUUUUUAAGGAUUCUUCGGAUGGAAUUAAAAGUGGAGAGCGGCGGACGGGUGAGUAACGCGUGAGAAACCUGCCCUAUACAGGGGGAUAGCCAUUGGAAACGAUGAUUAAUACCCCAUAUGACCACAGUAUCGCAUGAUACAGCGGUGAAAACUCCGGUGGUAUAGGAUGGUCUCGCGUCUGAUUAGCUAGUUGGUGGGGUAACGCUACCAAGGCGACGAUCAGUAGCCGGCCUGAGAGGGUGACCGGCCACACUGGAACUGAGACACGGUCCAGACUCCUACGGGAGCAGCAGUGGGAAUAUUGCACAAUGGGCGAAAGCCUGAUGCAGCGACGCCGCGUGAACGAUGAAGGCUUUUUCGAGUUCGUAAAAGUUCUGUUCUUGGGGGAAGAGUAACGACGGUACCCAAGGAGAAAGCACCGGCUAAA